AACGAACGCUGGCGGCAUGCCUAACACAUGCAAGUCGAACGAGAUCUUCGGGUCUAGUGGCGCACGGGUGCGUAACGCGUGGGAAUCUGCCCUUUGGUUCGGAAUAACAGUUGGAAACGACUGCUAAUACCGGAUGAUGACGAAAGUCCAAAGAUUUAUCGCCAGAGGAUGAGCCCGCGUAGGAUUAGCUAGUUGGUGUGGUAAAGGCGCACCAAGGCGACGAUCCUUAGCUGGUCUGAGAGGAUGACCAGCCACACUGGGACUGAGCCACGGCCCAGACUCCUACGGGAGGCAGCAGUGGGGAAUAUUGGACAAUGGGCGAAAGCCUGAUCCAGCAAUGCCGCGUGAGUGAUGAAGGCCUUAGGGUUGUAAAGCUCUUUUACCCGGGAUGAUAAUGACAGUACCGGGAGAAUAAGCUCCGGCUAACUCCGUGCCAGCAGCCGCCGUAA
RNAcentral lists this ribosomal RNA (449 nucleotides) under uncultured bacterium. Its description in RNAcentral is "partial 16S ribosomal RNA". It matches the Rfam family "Bacterial small subunit ribosomal RNA", at positions 29 to 523 of the family's 1533-position model. The record is from RNAcentral.